This is a non-coding RNA of Paramuricea clavata, 515 nucleotides long. Lineage: Eukaryota; Metazoa; Cnidaria; Anthozoa; Malacalcyonacea; Plexauridae. The record is from the annotation of a GenBank genome assembly.
CUAUGAUCAUUAUUUAUGACCAUAUUUAAUGGCGCCCCUUGGCGCCCCUCAAUAUUGUAUCUUUUUGGGGCUUUUAAAUCAUGAUAUUUCCUUUGCUAAUUUCAGGUCUUCUUGUCCAGAGUUCAUGUUCUCCCGCUAUUUUGGGGAAGCGUUCGUGCAUCCCAGAGUCCCAUACGCCAGGCAAACAAAAAACAAAGCGGCAAAGAAAUAAUAAACGCAAAAGAGAAGCAAAAAAACAUUUUCAAAUGGAAAAAAUAAUGUGUGUCAAAAUGAAAAAUGAGCAAGACCAAUGGCAGACUGUUGGACAACCGAAGAGGCGAAGAACAGACUUUAAUAAUGGGACUGUUUCAUAUUUGACAGGAUCAAGGACUGUCUGGUGGUGAAAAACCAUUUGUGCUUGUUGGAACUGUUUCUUGUAUUAUAGUCAGUUGGAGCAACUGGCAAUGACUCAGUAAACUUUUCCUUGGUUAAUUUUAGAUGUGUUAAAAUUUUUGCCAUUUCCACCAAGUUACCCA